UGCGUAGGCGGUCUUUUAAGUCAGCGGUGAAAGCCCGGGGCUCAACCCCGGCGAGCCGUUGAUACUGGGAGACUGGAGAGGAAGAGAGGCAUGCGGAAUUCGCGGUGUAGCGGUGAAAUGCGUAGAGAUCUGGAGGAAUACCGAUUGCGCAGGCAGCCCCCUGGACAGUGACUGACGCUCAUAUGCGAAAGCGUGGGGAUCAAACAGGAUUAGAUACCCCUGUA
RNAcentral lists this ribosomal RNA (224 nucleotides) under uncultured Thorsellia sp. RNAcentral's name for it is "partial 16S ribosomal RNA". It matches the Rfam family "Bacterial small subunit ribosomal RNA", at positions 568 to 792 of the family's 1533-position model. Lineage: Bacteria; Pseudomonadati; Pseudomonadota; Gammaproteobacteria; Enterobacterales; Thorselliaceae. The record is from RNAcentral.